AAGCCGCCUCGGCCUUCGCCAUAAAUUCUGCUCCUUUUGAGCCUGCAAUUAGUGUUAGGAAGCACCCGAGUCUAAACACAACCAAACGCCCUCUGAAGGGCCCAACUGCCCGCGGUUGCAAACCUUGUUUAUUUCCCAGCGCCACUCUCUCCGCACCCCGAGGUCUGCACACACAUUCGCCGCCUCCCCCGCCACCGCCGGCGGUCCACACUCGGCUGGGUUCCCGCUCUGCGAGGGAAGGUCACAAUAGCGGCUCUAUCGGCGGAGGCGCCCGCCUCCUCCCUCGCAGGCCUCGGAGCAGCAGAGACAGACGAGGGUGGGGGAGGGGAGCCCGGCCCGGCAAUGGCGCCCUGGGCCAGGCUUCUCCCUCUCCCGAGGAGGACCUGCGGCGGACAGGGACCAGGCGGCAGGGGGAGGAAGCCUCUGCCCUAGCCUGGGACGUUCCCCGGGCCCGGCGCGCUGGGGGCCGCGGGGUGCGCCCCGAAGCCUCGAGGCUGCUGGCCCUGGCCGCCCGGAGCAGCCGGGUCUUCCGGGAGCGGCCGCGCCAUUGUGCGCGCGGCGCCCCCAAGGGCUCCGCGGCGGGGAAGGCCACACAAAGGCAGCGCGGGGCCGGCGCCGGGCCGUGGGAGAGGGCCAGGCUGCGCUCGGGCCGUGGUCUCUGGGAGGCUCCCCUCGCUUGCCUAAGCGGAGGAAAUGGCUCUUUGGCUCAGGCCUCGGCCUGUUCUAUUUUCUUCCCAUAGAGACCGCUUUGGGGAAGGUGGGGACCAGGGAGGUUGUGGGGGAUCCUCCUGAGGCCUGAAGAAAGGGAUCAGGGCUGCAAGCCCAGGCCCAUGGCUGGGGGGUGGCAGUCGUUUGGGAGCCCGUGGUUGUUCUGUCCAGGCAGUCAAAUGUGAAUUAAUGCAGGGUAGGGGUGAGGCAGUGGGAAUGGCCCGCUGCAAAAUGGGAGGUUGGGGUGGGGAAAGAGAUUUAGGGAGAGGGAGAGCUUGCUCUGGCUACCAGGAGAGGCUCAGGACCCAGCCUGGAGUGGAGUGAGAAGACUCAACUGAGCUAGCCAGGAGGAUGGGGAAGUUGCAGAGGAAAGCCCUGAAGAGUAGUCCUGGCCCCAGAAAGGCGGCUUUCAAAGGAAAGAGGGAGAGAACACAGAAUGAGUACUUCUCUUUGGUGCAGCCCCAAGCCCCGUCCCUAUCAGAGACACAUCAGCUAGACUGGUUUCUCAGGCCCCAGAGGCUGCUAACCUUGCUGAAUAGGAUUUUUCGAAUUUCUAUCUAUAAGGAGUAUUAAAAGACAGUGAUUACCUAUAUUAGCUACUCAUCUCUUCUCCCUCCCCCAUUCCAUACCAGCCAACUGACCCUUGAGUGAAGUGCAUCUUUUCAGCCAGCAGGCUUGAGAGCCUAGGCUCUCCAUCUGUUGAGGUUUUUCAUUAGGGAGGGGGAAGAGGAUGUGUGUGUGGGGGGUGUAUUUUUGAAUAACAAAGAACAAACCCAACCUUCCAAUAAAAAGCGUGUCUCUGCUUGACCUGGGGGGGCCAGAAGCUUGUUUACACCUUUAGUAUCCAAGGGACAGGCCUGUUUUGACUUUAUCCUGAGAAUUAGCUGAAACUUCCUCCUGAAAUCAAGAAUUGGUUAAUCCCUGUUACAAAUCCAGGAAGGUCCUCUUCAUCUGGGAGUUCUUGGCUUUACUUUGGUCCUUCUUUCAGAAACUGUAGGAAAAGAAGAGAAUGAACUGAAGUUUGUGAGUAUUAAAUAAAACUAGAGGCAGAAGGCUCCAGUUGCCAUGGGCCUACAGCCUUAUCAUUUCAGGGCACUGUAACUUCCCAGAGAGGGUAUAGCUAAGGGCCUGGGUGAGCUGACCUAUCCCUAGACACUUUGGACACAGGAAGCUGAGACUGCCAGCCAUGCCCGUACCACCUCUGAGGACUGGCUCGCUUAGAUCUCUCUUGCUG
Long non-coding RNA from Equus asinus (donkey), 1942 nucleotides. The record is from Ensembl. Lineage: Eukaryota; Metazoa; Chordata; Mammalia; Perissodactyla; Equidae.